CAAUAGCGUAUAUUAAAGUUGUUGCAGUUAAAAAGCUCAUAGUUGGAUUUGUGGUGUACUUCGGCGGCCUGUCACUAUGUGAUGGAGCUUGCUGAAGUCGCCAUCCUUGGGUGGAUCCUGUGUGGCAUUAAGUUGUCGUGCAGGGGAUGCCCAUCGUUUACUGUGAAAAAAUUAGAGUGUUCAAAGCAGGCUUAUGCCGUUGAAUAUAUUAGCAUGGAAUAAUAAGAUAGGACCUUGGUACUAUUUUGUUGGUUUGCGCACCAAGGUAAUGAUUAAUAGGGACAGUUGGGGGUAUUCGUAUUUCAUUGUCAGAGGUGAAAUUCUUGGAUUUUUGAAAGACGAACUACUGCGAAAGCAUUUACCAAGGAUGUUUUGAUUAA
RNAcentral lists this ribosomal RNA (380 nucleotides) under uncultured eukaryote. Its description in RNAcentral is "partial 18S ribosomal RNA". It matches the Rfam family "Eukaryotic small subunit ribosomal RNA", at positions 592 to 976 of the family's 1831-position model. The record is from RNAcentral.